Molecule: ribosomal RNA, 252 nt
Filed under: uncultured prokaryote
Description: partial 16S rRNA
Rfam family: Archaeal small subunit ribosomal RNA
Source: RNAcentral
ACCGGCAGCUCAAGUGGUGGCCAUUUUUAUUGGGCCUAAAGCGUUCGUAGCCGGUUUGAUAAGUCUCUGGUGAAAUCCCGCAGCUUAACUGUGGGACUUGCUGGAGAUACUAUUAGUCUUGAGGUCGGGAGAGGUGACGGGUAUUCCUAGGGUAGGGGUGAAAUCCUCUAAGAUUGGGAGGAAUACCGAAGGCGAAGGCGGCCAACUGGAACGUCAUUGACGCUAAGUAGCGAAAGUCAGGGGCGCGAACAG